GUCUUUGUAGCUUAUCAACCAAAGCAUGGCACUGAAGAUGCCAAGAUGGUCGCAGCGCGCACCCGAAGACA
RNAcentral lists this transfer RNA (71 nucleotides) under Rynchops niger (black skimmer). RNAcentral describes it as "tRNA-Phe". Lineage: Eukaryota; Metazoa; Chordata; Aves; Charadriiformes; Laridae. The record is from RNAcentral.